Molecule: long non-coding RNA, 387 nt
Organism: Brassica rapa (field mustard)
Lineage: Eukaryota; Viridiplantae; Streptophyta; Magnoliopsida; Brassicales; Brassicaceae
Source: RefSeq, a predicted model, not a curated record
CAUGUCAAGGGCAGUCCUGAGAACUCCCCCGUUAAGAGGGAUAUACUGAGAAAGUUUUUCAAUGUAUUGGCCAGCUCCGCCAGGAAACAUGGUGCCACCACCAGGGAAAGUGAAGUAAUCACCUUCCCUUUUCAUCCAUCCUUGGUGACCUUUCCGGUCAGCAAUUUUGUUGUAUGGCAUGUUUGCAUGCCAUAUCUGCAAAGCUUAAAACGCUCACUCAUAUAAAGGGUGUAUUCAAUUAUAGAAUUUGAACUAAUUUGUAUAAAAAUGACAAAUCCGUUUUUAUUAAAACCUAAACUUUUAAAAACUCCUCUAAAAUCUCUAAACUUCAUACUAAAACCAUCGUAGUAAAUUCUCUAAUUCACUUUAAAUCAUCUAAAAACUCAU